This 254-nucleotide ribosomal RNA is filed under the name uncultured bacterium. Its description in RNAcentral is "partial 16S ribosomal RNA". It matches the Rfam family "Bacterial small subunit ribosomal RNA", at positions 524 to 776 of the family's 1533-position model. The record is from RNAcentral.
GACGAACCGUGCGAACGUUGUUCGAGAUUCACUGGGCUUAAAGGGCGCGUAGGCGGACGGUCAAGUCAGGGGUGAAAUCUUUCAGCUCAACUGGAAAAGUGCCUUUGAUACUGAUCGUCUCGAGGGAGGUAGGGGCAUGUGGAACUUCCGGUGGAGCGGUGAAAUGCGUAGAUAUCGGAAGGAACGCCGGUGGCGAAAGCGACGUGCUGGACCUCUUCUGACGCUGAGGCGCGAAAGCUAGGGGAGCAAACGGG